UCACAUCAAAAAAAUUAAUAUCUAAUAUCAAAUAUAUUUUAAUAUGAAACUAAAUAUUUUGUUAAUAUAUAAUAUAUCCUCAUAUAUAUAAAUAUAUAUCAUUAAUAACAAUAUAUACUAUAUAUGAUAUACGAUAUUAUUUAUUUCUUUUAUAGAUAAAUAAUAUAUAUAUAAUUAAAUAUUUUAUUUUGAUAAUUAAUAUAUCGGGCUUUUGGGUCGGGCUCAGGCCGGGCUUGGACAUACCCAAAAAGGCCCAAAAUUUCUUCGGGCCUAAAUUUUUAAGCCCGGCCCGAACCCAAAGAUAUAUUUUUAAUACCCAAAGCCCGGCCCAAACAUGGCCCAUCAGGCCGGGCCUUGUUUAGGCCCGGGCCCAGUUCCACCCCUAGUGGUACCGGUACUUAGCAUCCCAAAACCUGCAGUUUGCAUAAUUUGUUGCUAAGGACUCACUCUCGUUUCACAAAACACGAGUAAUAGUACAUAGUCAACGACCCUCGAACACACCAAGAAUAGUACCAAAUACUAUUCUGACACUGGAACCUUACAAUUUGCUAAACUUCAGUGUACUACACCUUUUUUCUCAAAUCACAAAAAUGUGCAAUUUAGCCCAUAUGGAUCAUAAUUUCAUACCCAAAACUCACCUAUAAGUGUGUUUUGCUCACAAGUACCUCCACCUCAAAAAUCAUGCAAUUUGACCUAUGAAAUGCCGCACUUUUUGCAUAAAUACUUUGAUUCAAUAAAUUUGCUCUUACGCAAUAUCAUCCCAAAAAUAUCACCAUAUCACGCCAAACUGUAUCGGGGUCCAUUAUAGGACUUAUAGCUCUAGUAGACCACAAAUGUGGCACUUUUCGUUUCGUCGAAAAUCAUUUCUAAAUGUGCAAUAAAACACCAAUUUUAGAAAAUUCAUUGUAAAAUAUUCUCGAGUACUACGUCACAACCCCCUUAAAAGAAGUUUCGUCCUCGA
This 961-nucleotide long non-coding RNA is filed under the name Ananas comosus (pineapple). RNAcentral's name for it is "long non-coding RNA (ACOM_LNC016772)". Lineage: Eukaryota; Viridiplantae; Streptophyta; Magnoliopsida; Poales; Bromeliaceae. The record is from RNAcentral.